AGUGAUCUUGAUGGCAUGAUGUCUUCUAUCCACCACAGUGCAAGAUCAGCCUGUGGUGAAGAUGGUACCGCUAAUUCUGGUCCAUUGUCUCCACCUUCUUUUAAGCCAUAUACUUGUGAACAGUUGCUCUCUUUUACAAUAAUGCUUGUUUGUCUAGGUUUUAACUGUAUAUCUCAUUAUUAUCGUCUGUUCAUAACAGUGCUGAUAACAAGUGUGUCUGUAUUACGAUAAUUUUCUCCCCAGUCCCGUGAUAAAUGCAAUCCGGCACAAGCACGAUGGGCAUGCAAUCCAGUGGGCCUUUCAACUUUGUUGGACGGUGUCCUGCGUGCAAGAGCUGCCAUAAUCUGGUCUCCUAAACUAUUUCGUGAACAGACGGAGCCACUAUAUGAUGAACACUAGCAAACGUGACCUUAUAUUAUGUGUACAAUGAACCUUGCAUGGACCAGGUUACAUGGAAAUAGUGCAAUAGUAGGGGGCCAUAAAUUAAGAGGGUCCAGUUGCCACCCAAGUUGUUGGUUUUAAUAGGCUCUGCAAUGCUGUCUGGUAAUUUCUUUUAAUCCAUAUAUUAAUGUGCAUAUCCUCGUUUCAUACUAUUUUUUACCUUUGCCACUCCACUUGCAGGGCCUCAUCUUGUAUCACGCGCGUGCUAUUCACGGCGCAGAGGAAGAGAUGCUGUGGUAAUAUGUACUUGGUGGUCUGCCAGGAGAAACAGGCGUGCUGCUGGCAGCUGCAGGAUGAUCUACAUCUACCAGCAGAUUAAUCUGUAGGCAAAUUACUCCCUCCUGUCGCUCCUCCAUUCAUCAUUUGGGCUCAGCUACCUUGUGUUUAGCGGAAUAUUCAGAUCGACUUGUUGGGGUGAUAAUGUCGCCAUCGCUUUGACCGGGAAUUCUUGGCAAACCAUCAUGACGAUCGGUGCGCAAUGCAUAGAUGGGCCACAUCUACAAUGGGGUGUUGCCGUGUGCAUGAACCAAAACUUUGAAUUCUCGUAUUUCUUGCUGUCAAGUGGGGUUAUGCAUAUUCAAUUUAAUUAAAGGAUCGUACUACCAGCAAUUGCUGUGAAGCAUCCUCGGCAAACUGUUAUUAUGCAGAUUUUGAACGUUCUCCUCAUCGGUCGGCAUCAAAUUCAAAUUCAGGCAAGAAGUCAGUUGCUUAUUUCUAGUUUUCAGUUUUUUCAUAUGAAGAUGGCGUCUUUUCUACUUUUGGAAAAGAAUCAAGUGCUGAAACACACAAGACUAAAAGCAUAUGAUUUUUCUAUGCAUCUGUUUCGCUCA
Molecule: long non-coding RNA, 1271 nt
Organism: Hordeum vulgare subsp. vulgare (domesticated barley)
Lineage: Eukaryota; Viridiplantae; Streptophyta; Magnoliopsida; Poales; Poaceae
Exons: 2
Source: RefSeq, a predicted model, not a curated record